Molecule: ribosomal RNA, 385 nt
Filed under: uncultured bacterium
Lineage: Bacteria
Description: bacterial SSU rRNA
Rfam family: Bacterial small subunit ribosomal RNA
Source: RNAcentral
AUUGAAUGCUGGCGGCAGGCCUAACACAUGCAAGUCGAGCGGAUGAGUGGAGCUUGCUCCAUGAUUCAGCGGCGGACGGGUGAGUAAUGCCUAGGAAUCUGCCUGGUAGUGGGGGACAACGUUUCGAAAGGAACGCUAAUACCGCAUACGUCCUACGGGAGAAAGCAGGGGACCUUCGGGCCUUGCGUUAUCAGAUGAGCCUAGGUCGGAUUAGCUAGUAGGUGAGGUAAUGGCUCACCUAGGCGACGAUCCGUAACUGGUCUGAGAGGAUGAUCAGUCACACUGGAACUGAGACACGGUCCAGACUCCUACGGGAGGCAGCAGUGGGGAAUAUUGGACAAUGGCGAAAGCCUGAUCAGCCAUGCCGCGUGUGUGAAGAAGGUCG